RNAcentral lists this ribosomal RNA (433 nucleotides) under uncultured bacterium. RNAcentral's name for it is "partial 16S ribosomal RNA". It matches the Rfam family "Bacterial small subunit ribosomal RNA", at positions 29 to 507 of the family's 1533-position model. The record is from RNAcentral.
AACGAACGCUGGCGGCAUGCCUAACACAUGCAAGUCGAACGAGACCUUCGGGUCUAGUGGCGCAUGGGUGCGUAACGCGUGGGAAUCUGCCCUUGGGUUCGGAAUAACAGUUGGAAACGACUGCUAAUACCGGAUGAUGACGUAAGUCCAAAGAUUUAUCGCCCAAGGAUGAGCCCGCGUAGGAUUAGCUAGUUGGUGAGGUAAAGGCUCACCAAGGCGACGAUCCUUAGCUGGUCUGAGAGGAUGAUCAGCCACACUGGGACUGAGACACGGCCCAGACUCCUACGGGAGGCAGCAGUGGGGAAUAUUGGACAAUGGGCGAAAGCCUGAUCCAGCAAUGCCGCGUGAGUGAUGAAGGCCUUAGGGUUGUAAAGCUCUUUUACCCGGGAUGAUAAUGACAGUACCGGGAGAAUAAGCUCCGGCUAACUCCGUG